RNAcentral lists this ribosomal RNA (318 nucleotides) under Nitidulidae sp. KM-2017. RNAcentral's name for it is "partial 12S ribosomal RNA". The record is from RNAcentral. Lineage: Eukaryota; Metazoa; Arthropoda; Insecta; Coleoptera; Nitidulidae.
UGAUCCACGAUUUAUAUUACCAAUGUUUUAAAUUUAUAUAUCGUCGUAUUUAAAUAUUUUAAAAGAAUUUUAAAUAUUUGAAAUUUUUUAAAUAAAAAGUAUUUCAGAUCAAGAUGUAGUUUAUAUAUUGGGAGAGAUGGGUUACAUUAAUUUUAAUUGUGGAUUUAUAAUUGAAAAUUAUUAUGAAAAUGGAUUUGAAAGUAAUAGUAAAAAUUUUUUUAUUAUGAGUAAGCUCUAAAAUAUGUACAUAUCGCCCGUCGCUUUCACUCUAAAGUGAAAUAAGUCGUAACAAAGUAAUUUUACUGGAAAGUGAGGUUA